RNAcentral lists this ribosomal RNA (372 nucleotides) under uncultured organism. RNAcentral's name for it is "bacterial SSU rRNA". It matches the Rfam family "Bacterial small subunit ribosomal RNA", at positions 526 to 896 of the family's 1533-position model. The record is from RNAcentral.
CAGAGGGGGCAAGCGUUGUUCGGAAUUACUGGGCGUAAAGGGCGCGUAGGCGGCCUUCUAAGUCGAACGUGAAGUCCCCGGGCUCAACCCGGGAACUGCGUCCGAUACUGGAAGGCUUGAAUCCGGGAGAGGGAUGCGGAAUUCCAGGUGUAGCGGUGAAAUGCGUAGAUAUCUGGAGGAACACCGGUGGCGAAGGCGGCAUCCUGGACCGGCAUUGACGCUGAGGCGCGAAAGCCAGGGGAGCAAACGGGAUUAGAUACCCCGGUAGUCCUGGCCCUAAACGAUGAAUGCUUGGUGUGGCGGGUAUCGAUCCCUGCCGUGCCGAAGCUAACGCAUUAAGCAUUCCGCCUGGGGAGUACGGUCGCAAGGCUG